UUUGAUUCUUCCUUUUCCUCCAAGACACCAAUGGCCACAUUAUCUUCAGACUGGCCGCUUGCAUUACCAGCUUCCUCCGUCUGUGUAGGCUCUUCAGUUUCAACUAGAUUCAUGGACAAAUCCUCUGGCUGAACCGAAACAUUAAUACCGCUGGCUUCACCAUCGGUCAUGUUUAUUUCUUCUGGUGUGUUUUCGGCCUUCGUCAUGUUUAUCUCUUCCGGUGUGUUCUCGGCCUUGGUUUCUUUCUCGGAACUUAAUGCUGAAGACAUAUGCUCUUGUUGAUCAUUUGAUUCUUCUUUCUCUUCCAAGACACCAGCCACAUUAUCUUCAGACUGGUCGCCUGCUUUACCAACUUCCUCCAUCUGUGUGGACUCGUCAGUUUUAACUAGAUUCCUGGACAGAUCCUCAGGCUCAACAGAAACAUUUAUGCCGCUGGCUUCACCACCAAUCAUGUCUGUAUCAUCCGAUGGGUUCUCAGCCUUGUUCUCUUCCUCUGAACUUAAUGCUGAAGACAAAGGCUCUCGUUGAUCCUUUGAUUCUUCUUUUUCCUCCA
Molecule: long non-coding RNA, 553 nt
Filed under: Brassica rapa (field mustard)
Lineage: Eukaryota; Viridiplantae; Streptophyta; Magnoliopsida; Brassicales; Brassicaceae
Description: long non-coding RNA (BRAP_LNC001886)
Source: RNAcentral